AUGUCAUGUAUGCCUUGCCUUAGAGCACGAGCAAUGCGGAAAAAAAACAGAAACCUGCGCUCUAGUGGUGGUGACGAAGGCGGGAUAACUUCUGGUCUAUCAAGUAGACACCCAUUCUCGAUUCCUAAGCGCAAUGGAUUUGUUUCUGUUGGCGAAAGCUGUAUUCUGAAGACAAAUCAUUUUAAACCAUCGACUUAUUGUGACAAUAUUUACCGAUAUGAGGUAUUUAUGAACUAUGAGUUUCUGUCAUCUGGCCCCUCUCAUGCUACCGCCAUCUCAUGUGGUGUCAAACGUGCUGUUAUGAGAAAGCUUUGCAAGAUGUAUAGGGAAUCACAUUUGCGUGGCCGGCGUCCUCAUAUGAUGGAAGGAACAGGUUAUAUGCAUCUGGACCGUUUUCAUUUGAAUCUGAGACCUUUGUUAUAA
This 423-nucleotide ribosomal RNA is filed under the name Triticum aestivum (bread wheat). RNAcentral's name for it is "partial small subunit ribosomal RNA". The record is from RNAcentral. Lineage: Eukaryota; Viridiplantae; Streptophyta; Magnoliopsida; Poales; Poaceae.